GAUGAACGCUGGCGGCGUGCCUAAUACAUGCAAGUCGAGCGAACGGACGAGAAGCUUGCUUCUCUGAUGUUAGCGGCGGACGGGUGAGUAACACGUGGAUAACCUACCUAUAAGACUGGGAUAACUUCGGGAAACCGGAGCUAAUACCGGAUAAUAUUUUGAACCGCAUGGUUCAAAAGUGAAAGACGGUCUUGCUGUCACUUAUAGAUGGAUCCGCGCUGCAUUAGCUAGUUGGUAAGGUAACGGCUUACCAAGGCAACGAUGCAUAGCCGACCUGAGAGGGUGAUCAGCCACACUGGAACUGAGACACGGUCCAGACUCCUACGGGAGGCAGCAGUAGGGAAUCUUCCGCAAUGGGCGAAAGCCUGACGGAGCAACGCCGCGUGAGUGAUGAAGGUCUUCGGAUCGUAAAACUCUGUUAUUAGGGAAGAACAUAUGUGUAAGUAACUGUGCACAUCUUGACGGUACCUAAUCAGAAAGCCACGGCUAACUACGUGCCAGCAGCCGCGGUAAUACGUAGGUGGCAAGCGUUAUCCGGAAUUAUUGGGCGUAAAGCGCGCGUAGGCGGUUUUUUAAGUCUGAUGUGAAAGCCCACGGCUCAACCGUGGAGGGUCAUUGGAAACUGGAAAACUUGAGUGCAGAAGAGGAAAGUGGAAUUCCAUGUGUAGCGGUGAAAUGCGCAGAGAUAUGGAGGAACACCAGUGGCGAAGGCGACUUUCUGGUCUGUAACUGACGCUGAUGUGCGAAAGCGUGGGGAUCAAACAGGAUUAGAUACCCUGGUAGUCCACGCCGUAAACGAUGAGUGCUAAGUGUUAGGGGGUUUCCGCCCCUUAGUGCUGCAGCUAACGCAUUAAGCACUCCGCCUGGGGAGUACGACCGCAAGGUUGAAACUCAAAGGAAUUGACGGGGACCCGCACAAGCGGUGGAGCAUGUGGUUUAAUUCGAAGCAACGCGAAGAGCCUUACCAAAUCUUGACAUCCUUUGACAACUCUAGAGAUAGAGCUUUCCCCUUCGGGGGACAAAGUGACAGGUGGUGCGUGGUUGUCGUCAGCUCGUGUCGUGAGAUGUUGGGUUAAGUCCCGCAACGAGCGCAACCCUUAAGCUUAGUUGCCAUCAUUAAGUUGGGCACUCUAAGUUGACUGCCGGUGACAAACCGGAGGGAGGUGGGGAUGACGUCAAAUCAUCAUGCCCCUUAUGAUUUGGGCUACACACGUGCUACAAUGGACAAUACAAAGGGCAGCGAAACCGUGAGGUCAAGCAAAUCCCAUAAAGUUGUUCUCAGUUCGGAUUGUAGUCUGCAACUCGACUACAUGAAGCUGGAAUCGCUAGUAAUCGUAGAUCAGCAUGCUACGGUGAAUACGUUCCCGGGUCU
RNAcentral lists this ribosomal RNA (1372 nucleotides) under uncultured bacterium. RNAcentral describes it as "bacterial SSU rRNA". It matches the Rfam family "Bacterial small subunit ribosomal RNA", at positions 28 to 1381 of the family's 1533-position model. The record is from RNAcentral.